ACCUCACCCCUCCUUGUUACUUCCGUCUAUAUACCGCCGUCGUCAGCCUACCCUGUGAAGGUCUAAUAGUAAGCAAAAUUGGCACAGCCCAGAACGUCAGGUCGAGGUGUAGCAUAUGGAAGGGGAAGAAAUGGGCUACAUUCUCUAAUCUCAGAGAACACGCACGACAUAAUGAAAACACAUGUCACAAAGGAGGAUUUAGUAGUAAGCAGGAAAUAGAGAGUUCCGCUGAAAUAGGCCCUUAAGCGCGCACACACCGCCCGUCACUCUCCCCAAGCCUACACAAACCCAAAUAACCUAAACCCUACUAUUGCAAAGGGGAGGCAAGUCGUAACAUGGUAAGCGUACCGGAAGGUGCGCUUGGAAAAAU
This 370-nucleotide ribosomal RNA is filed under the name Platax orbicularis (orbicular batfish). RNAcentral describes it as "partial 12S ribosomal RNA". It matches the Rfam family "Bacterial small subunit ribosomal RNA", at positions 968 to 1533 of the family's 1533-position model. The record is from RNAcentral. Lineage: Eukaryota; Metazoa; Chordata; Actinopteri; Ephippiformes; Ephippidae.